RNAcentral lists this ribosomal RNA (844 nucleotides) under Streptomyces sp. RNAcentral describes it as "bacterial SSU rRNA". It matches the Rfam family "Bacterial small subunit ribosomal RNA", at positions 84 to 949 of the family's 1533-position model. The record is from RNAcentral. Lineage: Bacteria; Bacillati; Actinomycetota; Actinomycetes; Kitasatosporales; Streptomycetaceae.
UAAAGGGGUUAGUGGCGACGGGUGAGUAACACGUGGGCAAUCUGCCCUGCACUCUGGGACAAGCCCUGGAAACGGGGUCUAAUACCGGAUACGACCAUCUUGGGCAUCCUUGGUGGUGGAAAGCUCCGGCGGUGCAGGAUGAGCCCGCGGCCUAUCAGCUUGUUGGUGAGGUAACGGCUCACCAAGGCGACGACGGGUAGCCGGCCUGAGAGGGCGACCGGCCACACUGGGACUGAGACACGGCCCAGACUCCUACGGGAGGCAGCAGUGGGGAAUAUUGCACAAUGGGCGAAAGCCUGAUGCAGCGACGCCGCGUGAGGGAUGACGGCCUUCGGGUUGUAAACCUCUUUCAGCAGGGAAGAAGCGAGAGUGACGGUACCUGCAGAAGAAGCGCCGGCUAACUACGUGCCAGCAGCCGCGGUAAUACGUAGGGCGCGAGCGUUGUCCGGAAUUAUUGGGCGUAAAGAGCUCGUAGGCGGCUUGUCGCGUCGGUUGUGAAAGCCCGGGGCUUAACCCCGGGUCUGCAGUCGAUACGGGCAGGCUAGAGUUCGGUAGGGGAGAUCGGAAUUCCUGGUGUAGCGGUGAAAUGCGCAGAUAUCAGGAGGAACACCGGUGGCGAAGGCGGAUCUCUGGGCCGAUACUGACGCUGAGGAGCGAAAGCGUGGGGAGCGAACAGGAUUAGAUACCCUGGUAGUCCACGCCGUAAACGGUGGGCACUACGUGUGGGCGACAUUCCACGUCGUCGUGCCGCAGCUAACGCAUUAAGUGCCCCGCCUGGGGAGUACGCGCAGCUAAACUCAAGGAUUGACGGGGGCCCGCACAGCGGCGGAGCAUGGUGGCUUAA